AGUGCAACUUAUUUAUUUGUGACUGUUGGUGUUUUGGCAAAGUUGUUCAAUGUUGAUGUUUAAUAACUAUAGUAGAUAGUGUGUGUUUUCUUCACUUAUUUUUAUAUCAAGUGCUGCAUAUUUACUGUACAAAACCUCUCAGUAAACUAUAAGGGGCAAAUAAUAACAUAAAUUGAUUAAAUAAAACAAUUGUUUAUUAAUCAUAAUCAAAUUACAAUUAAUCGAGAUUUUAAUUUUAGGCCAAAUCGCCCAGCCAUACAAUGUGACUACAGACUCCCACAUUGCGAUAUCAAUUCUGAAACUAUAUAUUGUGCUGCCCUAAGACCCAUUAUACUUUAUAAUGCUUAAGAAAGAAAUCUAAUGAUUGAAACAAUCGUUUACGGUAAAUGAUAAUAAACAAUAAAUCAAUGUAGACUACUUUGUAUAUGCACUAUUUUUGCUUAUGUCACUAUCAAGAUAAUAUCAAAUAGCAUAAUAAAAGCCUCCGUAAUCAUCGUUAAAAAGAAAGUUUGCUACCAUCACAUGCCUAGCCACAUUUUUUUUUAAACUCGUCUUGAUUCAAGUGCAGUGUGUUUUUUUUCUCUUUAAUAGUCUACAUGUGAUUGACUUGGUCAGCAUUGAUAUAUUUGAUUAAUUUAGCACUGCAGGAUAUUUGAGGACAAGCUGUAUGAGUAUAACUCUUGUCAAAUUGUACUCUGGCUGUUCCUCAUUUCUUUAGCUUCUUAUCUCUCUCUCUCUCUGUGUGUGUGUGUGUGUGUGUGUGUGUGUGUACAUGCUCUCGCCUGCCGUAUCCAUGCAGUGUCUAUAUAUUUUGGGCACAUUCAUGGAAACAUGUGAGAGAUAAGUGCAGCUUUUCCUGGAUGUGUUGAAGUGGCAGACUCGCACCUUCCCUUUAGUGAACGGCCACCAUAGGAGACCCGUGGGUCAAAAACGGGGGGACGUCUGGCACACACCUUCGCCUCUUUAUAUAUUAGCACAUCUCAUUGGUUUUAAGUAGGCCCAGGGAUUUUCUGCAUGGCUUAUCAGCGAAGGUUUAUUGCACCAUAAGGUUUCCAGACACUCAAACAUUUAAGCUGGCCUAGGAGCUCUUAAGUCUACAAGGACGUUGUUGAUCCUCGUAUGUGUCCAGCGGUUUGAAAAAGCUGUUUGUUCACUCGGCCAGCUGCGGGGGGACGAAAACAUGGUCUGCUCUGACUGGGAGGAGGGAUUUGUGGGUCGUAUGGUCUUAUUUGAAAACAGUGUCAGCACUGCUGCUUUUACACCAAAAGCCUGUUGCUAGGCGACUGCUGACGUCAGUAGAGGCUACAGAGGAAGGUCUGUGUGUUGAGCUGCUCACUGAAAGAGGGCAAAACUAGCAAACGCACUGACUGCACAAAGCCCAACUCCUGGAAGAGCUUGACUAAAUAUUACAAACAUUUCUUUUUUAUGCAAAGUUUUUGCUGUGAAAAUGUAAUGCUCAUGAAAUGUGGUCCUUCUAGCGCACCCCCCUCCCCCCCGGGUCUGUUUUCAGCUUUGGCUUUGAUGACGUCAGUCGCGUUUCGAGGAGGGGAAAAGUCAAUCAUUAGUGUCAGAAGAAGAGCCCCGAGCCGAGUCGAGCAGCCAUUCUCAAUUCUCUGCACUUUGUUUAUGCUAGUCAGGAAGUCCUUCUUUUAAACAGGUCAAACGGUUAAAGGCAGAUGUUUUCAAAGGUUUUUUAGUGUUUUUUUUUUUUGCAAGAUUUUUAGGGAGGUUUUUAAGUGUAAUUAGGGUUUUACAGUUUUGUUUUAUUUCUGUGAAAACUGAAAUUAAAUAAACUAUCCUGGGGCAGAAAUUUUAUAUAAACUUAACAUAAAAGUGUAUGAAGUGCAGGUUUUGUUAGCAAAUAGAAUUUAUAAACAUGUAUCAUGUAGCAUAUUAAAAAAAUAUGCAAUGAUACAGUUUUCCCUAUAGAUCAGUAAAAAUUCUACAUAAUUUGGCUGCACAAUAUUGGAAAAAAUGACCUUUUGAUGUUUUGUUUUUCUGCAAUUUUUUUAAUUUAUUUUUAAUUUUUGUAUGUUAUUAGGCCUAAAUUGACAUUCAGAACCUGUAAUCAAUCUAUUUUUUUCAAUUACUUUCCCUACCAUCAGAAAAGCAUGUUUUCAUUGCAAUAAAACUAUUAUUUACAUUAAAAUAUUUGUUUACAUAAAGUUCAAUAAAUGCUCUGUUAAAUAUUAUUUACAGGAUAUACAAGAUGUAUUUUAUUUAGAAGAGAUUCUGCUUAUUUUCUACUUUUAAUAUGAAAAACAUAAUAAUAAUUAAUUUUGUUUACUGUUUGUUUUAGGCAGUGUGUGUUUUAAUUCCAGUUCUUCAACGGUGAAGUAAAUAAUCAUAGAUAGCAGGUAGUGUGUAUUAUCUUGAAUUAUUUUAAAAUCAAGUUAAGCACCCUUCAUUCAUAAAUCUCUCACUUGUGAUAUGUGAGCAUAUUUACUGUACAAAACCUAUCUGUGAACUAUGAAUGCAAAGAAAUGUAAUAAAUAAAUCAAAUAAUCGUUCAUUAAUCGUAAUCCAGUUCAAAUGUUCAAUUAAUCGAGAUUUCUUUUUUUUAGGACAAAUCGCUCAGUCCUAAUUGUGAUCUGCAAGUAAUUUUACAAGAUGACUCUAUUUGGAAAGAAUUCCUAAUAUUUUUAUAUUGAUUGGAAUGAUUUGUAAUCGAAUGCAUCUGCAUAAAAUACAUGAAUUUAUGCCAAAAAGAAAGAAAGAAAAUGAAUUAAAGCGCAGAUAAAAAAUUAAAUGAACAAUACUUAGUUUUUGGUUGGACUUUACCAGUUUUGAGAUAUAGAGAUUGAAUACUCAAACGUAAAACAACAUUGAAUAGUCUUUAUACUAUUGUAUUAAAAGAUUAAAGACAAUUAAACUUCAUUAAAGUGGCAAACUUUUUAAGUUCUUGUGCCCAAAUGGCUAGAAUUCUCUUAAAAUCUUACAGUCACAAGCCUUUAAAAAAAAACACAUCCAAAUAAAAGUCUCUCAUCUUAUUAAAUUUGAGUUAAUCCUUGCAACAAUUCCGCAAAGCAUAUGUUCUGAACUGUUUUCUGGUUAUUUAUAAUCCCAAUUUGACAUUGCAGAUCCGGCAAUGUUACUUGCAGAUUUGCACAUAGCCAUAUCAAUGCUGAAACAAUAUAUUGUGCAGCCCUACUAAAUAUUAAUAAUAAUAACAAUUAUUAUUAUUAUUAUAUAAAAAUUAUUGCAAUUGUAAUAGCUGUUUUAAAAUUAAUUGAAUUUAUAAUUGACAUAUAAUUUUCUUUAUUGUCUUUCUUGACGUUCAUAGGGCUAAAAAUGGAAAAAAAGGAUAAAACCAUAUGAAAAUAUGUAUAAUUUUUAAAUCAACAUUUUACAUUUUCUUCUUAGUGAAAAUAUACAUUUGAAUGACUUUAACCUGUAUGCUUUUAUCUUAUUAAUCAGUUUAAAAUUUUUAAUUCAUUUUAAUGUUAUUUUUUGUUUAAUUUAGGUUCUUUUAGGUCCAUCCACAUAUUUACAUUCGCUUUGAUUCAGAGCUGUGAUUCGUCCAAGAAUAAUAUUAUAAUAGAACAAAUUAUAAUAACAAUAGCUAUAUAAACUAAUGCAUUUAAUAUUGGUUUUUCUUUAACAUUACUUAAACUACUAUUAAUUGUCAUUCAAGAUGUUUCUUUCAGCUCUGUUCGCAUAGUUACACAUUGACAUUCUUACUGGUACAGGACUAUGAUUUCCUCUAAGUUAUAGAUGGCAAUAGAAAAACAACAUCGUAAACAUAAGUAAUGAGGCAUAAAAGUACUGUCUGUUAAAUCCUGAGAGGGCUGUGUGUGUUUCUUUUGGGUUUUGUGUACUUGCUCGUGUGUGUGUGUGUGUGUGUGUGUGUGUGUGUGUGUGUGUGUGUGUGUGUUAUGAAUGACGUGAGCUGUCAUGAGAGAUAAGAAGGCCACUCAAGCAUGUGGCUUAAUGAAGAGUGUGAUAGGCGUCUGUGCCAAUCACGUGGCCAUUAGCACACAAGACUGGUUACUUUAGUGAGCUCCUGCGCGAGAUUAAAUCAGAAUCGCGGCCCACCCAAACCGCCACAUAUGACGCACACACUGUUCCCCACCAGGUUAAUGAAUAAAGGCCUCUAAGAAACAGACAAGUGAGCUUUGAUUGUUGAUUGCACUUUUUCACUUAAAAGACGUCAGAGAGAAAUAUAACGGUGCUUGAAGUGAGAUCGGAGGAACUGCAUAUUCAAAUGACAUAUUAUAAUAUAUAUAUAUAUGCAAGAUAUUUAAAUGUUAAAUCGAUUUAAAUUGUGGUAUGUCAUAUUACAUGCAGAAAAGGGUCAAAUUGCAUUUACUAGGAUGUUGUUUAUAAAUGUACUUGUUUAUAUAUGUACUGUAAUAUUUCUGUGUAGUGUUAUGUAAAGUUGUUGACACUUUAUUGGUAAGGAAACAUGUGUGAGUGAGAAAAUAAAACGCAUGAUUCUAGAAAAAAAUGA
Non-coding RNA from Danio rerio (zebrafish), 4450 nucleotides. NCBI's taxonomy places the organism in Eukaryota, Metazoa, Chordata, Actinopteri, Cypriniformes, Danionidae. The record is from RefSeq and is a predicted model, not a curated record.